CCCUCAUACUCACAAAACCCGAGCGCAAAUCAUUCGGGUUUAAUACAGUGUACCGGUACCCAGCCCCAGUACCGGUACUGAACAUCCAGUAUCGAUACCCAAUACCCCAAAUCUCAAACCCGAGAGCAGCUACUCUCUGACACGCGAUGGGGUUCCGGUACCAACUUCCAGUAUCGGUACUCAACCCUAUACUAUGCAAAGUGCAGAUUUUGAUGCCGAAAGCCUGUUCUCUCGCCAAAUAAGCUCUAGAAACAGGCAGAAACCAAACAGACACCCUCAAAACACCCAGAAUAGUUUAAAAUACUAUUCUUACACUAAAACCUUGC
This 326-nucleotide long non-coding RNA is filed under the name Ananas comosus (pineapple). RNAcentral's name for it is "long non-coding RNA (ACOM_LNC043401)". Lineage: Eukaryota; Viridiplantae; Streptophyta; Magnoliopsida; Poales; Bromeliaceae. The record is from RNAcentral.